ACAUCAAGAAAUUCAGAUUUCAUGGUCAAUAUUCACAAGUCUUUUCUACUGGGGUUACCCAUCCCUCUUUUGUGGUCACAUGCUGGAGUUGAAAACAUUAAUGGGACUGUGGAAUUUGAAAACAGUGAGGGGAGCCAGAUUACUUCCAACAAUGAAUUUCCAGAAGUUAAAGUUGAACCACUGGAUAGUCUAUCUGGCUUUAGGAAAAACUUAGGAGUUCAUUCAAACAUUCAACAGGUGGCUGGAAGUGAUAAGAUGGAAGUGGACUCAGUCCUGCUGCAAUCUGAAACUAAAAUGGAUCUGGUAGAAAGAGGUUUCUAUCCUUUGCCUGGCUUAAUGUGUGAAUCAUGGACAGAUGUUGAAUGUGAUAGUUUUCUUCUUGGUCUAUACAUAUUUGGGAAGAAUCUUG
Molecule: unclassified non-coding RNA, 409 nt
Filed under: Hevea brasiliensis (rubber tree)
Lineage: Eukaryota; Viridiplantae; Streptophyta; Magnoliopsida; Malpighiales; Euphorbiaceae
Source: RNAcentral